CAGUCGCCACGGUAAUACGGAGGGUGCAAGCGUUAAUCGGAAUUACUGGGCGUAAAGCGUGCGUAGGCGGUGAGUUAAGUCUGCUGUGAAAUCCCCGGGCUCAACCUGGGAAUGGCAGUGGAUACUGGCUCGCUAGAGUGUGUCAGAGGAUGGUGGAAUUCCCGGUGUAGCGGUGAAAUGCGUAGAGAUCGGGAGGAACAUCAGUGGCGAAGGCGGCCAUCUGGGACAACACUGACGCUGAGGCACGAAAGCGUGGGGAGCAAACAGGAUUAGAUACCCGCGUAGUCCCUGUCUCUUAUAC
RNAcentral lists this ribosomal RNA (301 nucleotides) under uncultured bacterium. RNAcentral's name for it is "partial 16S ribosomal RNA". It matches the Rfam family "Bacterial small subunit ribosomal RNA", at positions 509 to 807 of the family's 1533-position model. The record is from RNAcentral.